Molecule: non-coding RNA, 553 nt
Organism: Arachis ipaensis
Lineage: Eukaryota; Viridiplantae; Streptophyta; Magnoliopsida; Fabales; Fabaceae
Source: RefSeq, a predicted model, not a curated record
UAAAGCUUAGUGUGGUAGGGUGUUCAAUGUUCAAUGUAUUUGUUGUUGUGUUUUUGCUUCCGAUUUUUGAAGCAGAAAAUGUGAGAAGGACAAUGAAAGAGAGUGUUCACUGGGAAAGAAAGCUGUUUGGAGUGUACUGAGUGGAAGCUAGGGGGAUUCAUGUUUGGUAUGCAAUUGCAUUGGCGAUCGGUGCAAAAUUUGUUCCUUUACAUAAACCACAGAAGCUGCCAGCCAAAGGAAUGUGACUUGAUUGAGAAUUUUGGAUCCAAAGGCAAAGGCAAAUAAGUGUAGCCUUUGCCAAAGGCAUCAAAUUUGUCUGAUGAAGAUAUAGAUGCUAACUUUGAGAUUAUUCCGUGGACUAGAUUUAUUUAUAUUGCUUCAUUUAAAUUGAGAAAGUAUUUGUUUUAGUGGCUAGUUUAUUUUCUAUUUUUAUAUCAUUAGCUAUGUUUAAGAAUUGACAUUUGGUUGUUAUUAGUGUAUUUGUGAAGACACAUUUUUGAAUUUUAAUUUUCUAAGCUUAUUUUUUGUAAUUUUAUAUUUAUAUUUAAUUGUG